AAAGUAAUAGGACCAACUAUUUUUUUUUUUUUUUUUUUUGUUAUGGUGUAAGUUCUAGUUCUGUUUAGCUGAGAAAUGGAAAGUUAGAUUUGCUGUAGUUAGCCGUUGAGUUUAUUCGUUUAGCAUUACACUGUUCCUUCAAACAUUGGGACGGUAGACUUCUCAUCAGAGUAGCACCACCUCAUUUCUGGAUUCAGAAGCUUUUGAUGUGACUUUUGUUGUUUUGGUUUGUUUGUUUUGAGACAUGGUCUCACUGUGUAGCCCUGACUGGCCUGGAACUUGCUAUGUGGACCCAGUUGGCCUUUAAUCUUGAACUUAAAAAGAGACAUCUGCCUCUGCCUCCCAAGUGCUGAGGUUAAAGGUGAGUGCCACUAUGCCUUUUAUUAUUUUUUUAAAUUUUGAUGUAUUUCUUGUGUGUGUAUACCAGAGCACACAUGGAGGUCAGUAGACAUUGUGAUUCUUUCCUUUCCCUGCAUGGGUUCUGGAGAUCAAAUUCAGGUUCUCAGGCUUCCCAUCAAGCACUUGUACCCAGAGUUGUCUUGCCCUCCAAAGUUUUUUUAAAUAUGGUAUUUCCAAAGAAAGUAUUCAAACAAAUAUUUUGUUUCAUUAAACUCAUCAGAUUGUAUGAGAUUUUGUCUAGGUUUAUUAACCAUUUACAAAAUUAACUUUGUUAAAGGUUUUGCUAGAGAAUUUACUAAUUCAGCAUACUAACUCAUGUAUUUAUGUCUUUUUGUUUGUUGUUAAGGGUCUUGAUAUGUAGUCUAGGCCAGCCUCCAACUCAUGAUCCUCCUGCCUCAGCCUCCCUAGUGCUGGGAGUACAGAAGUACACUACCACUCCUGGCUGUGGUCAGUGUUUAUAAAAAGUGAGAUCAGAAGAAAAUAGGAUGUCAUGAACUGUGAUCCAGAGGAAAAAAUAAUUCUUCUAGGGAAUUAUUAAGAAUAAUUCUAAGGAAUAGGAAGAGGUGAGGGAGGCUUAAAAUAAAACAAUGAUUAACUCGUUAAUUUUUAUAGCUUGCAUAAACCAAAGUAUAAAAAUGUAAGGCACAGUGAAAAAACUAAACCACUCACCAGCCAGUGCCAAACAAGCAGCAAAAAGGUCAAUGCAGGAAGCUCAGGCCGUGCAGGGUGCCACCCUCUUGCAGUGAUCACAGGCCUGAGCAUAGCUCUGAGAUGCUGACCUUCAGGGGAGAAGGCCUCAGUCAACUGUAGACCACCUUCACCUCAUAACCGAGUGUCUGUGUGGCAGCUCUGUCUCAGAAGUUAAAAACCAGUCAAGAGCAGGAAGUCAGGCCAACAUAUUUUAGCAGCUAUCAACUGAGGCAGAGUGUUAGUAAACUGUAACUGAGAGUGACAUUAAUCACACAGUGGAAAGAUAAAUCCUAAGGACUAAGUCCCAUGUUUAUACACACAAAGGUGCUUAUCAGCUCCUAACUCAGGACGACUCCAUACUUGCUGAGCCUUACAAAUGUCAGCCCAACUGAAAC
RNAcentral lists this long non-coding RNA (1484 nucleotides) under Rattus norvegicus (Norway rat). Its description in RNAcentral is "long non-coding RNA NONRATT025020". The record is from RNAcentral. Lineage: Eukaryota; Metazoa; Chordata; Mammalia; Rodentia; Muridae.